AUGGGAGAGAUUCAGGUAGAUUUGAACUGUCAUCAUCAAUCAAGACCAAGGAGAAGGCUGCUUUCCAGGAUGUACACAUGGCCUCUGUUUGUUGUUGCUGUUUUGCUUCUUUUAAGAGCUCAACAGAACCCUGUAAUAUACAUGAACAAGUUUCUGGAAGUUAAGAGGGUUGAAGUUCGGGAUAGAAAUGUAAAUGUGUUCGGACAUACUGAGAAAUAAAUCACAUUGAAGAGAUGGAGAAAGGAGUUGCUGGAGAGGCAAAAUGAAAAGGCAGAUGCUAAGGAACUGCACAAAAAGAAAAAAUGUAUCCUAAUUGGGGCAGUGUGAACUUGUCAGACAGGGAAGAAGCAUGAAGUCAUAAAUUGCUUGGAGAAUUAUAGCAGUACCUUGACAUAGUAGGAAAAAGAAAGCUUAUGUGUACUCAAGAUCUGAAUUCAAGUUCUGGCUCUAUCUCUUACUGGAUGUGAGAUGCUGGACAAGGUCCUUCUCUAUUUCAAUUCUGUCAUUCAAAUCUAUGAAUUCAAAAAUUUGAAUUAACCACCAAAGCCCCCUUUGGCUGUCAAUUUUAAUCUGCAGUGACAUCCUGGUGGGUUGAAAUUUAAGACAGUCAUUAAUGGAUAAUAAACAAAGACCAUUUGUGUAGGAGUUUACCCCAUGUGUAUGGGUCUUAUUCUUAGUAAUUUGGGAAAAUAUAGAAUGUGAAUGGGGCAAUCUUGAAUUGUGAGGAGGAGCUCAUUUUAUCAGGCAAGAUCCCGAUUUUCAAAUCGGUACCUGAAUGUUGCUUAUUUGAUUAAACUCUGGUAUACAGAAAGCAUUAGCUUCAGCGUUAUGCCUCUACUACAUAGGAGAAGAACUAAAUUAGAAGGAAAUAGAUGUUUGACUGACUUAGAGAAAUAUUGAAAGAGUGGAUUGAUGAUGCUUUCCAGGACCAUUUAAUUUGACUGAUAUAAUAAAAAUCUUGGCAGUAAUGAGAGUCUUCUGAAUUAAAACCAGCCACGUUUUCUCAUUAAUAUAUUACUAUUGGUGAAAUUUUGUUUUAGAUGGUCUUCCAAAGCAGGAAAUAUUUCCAAUAUAAUUAAUUAUCACAGGCCAGGCGUGGUGAUUCAUGCCUGUAAUCCUGGCACUUUGGGAGGCCAAGGCGGGUGGAUCACUUGAGGUCAGGGGUUCGAGACCAGCCUGACCAACAUGGUGAAAGCCAGUCUCUACUAAAAAUACAAAAAUUAGCUGGGUGUGGUGGGUUAUGCCUGUAAUCCCAGCUACUUGGGAGGCUGAGACAGGAGAAUCGCUUGAACCCGGGAGGCGGAGGUUGCAGUGAGCCGAGAUUGCGACAUUGCAUUCCAGCCUGGGCAACAGGAAUGAAACUCCAUCUCAGUUAAAAAAAUAUAUAUAUCACAAAAGGUGGAAGAUGGGAUUGGUUCUCUUCACUCAUUUUUUUCAAGCAAGAGACUUCUCAACUGUGUAUAUUUGUAUAU
This 1472-nucleotide long non-coding RNA is filed under the name Pan paniscus (pygmy chimpanzee). Its description in RNAcentral is "lncRNA (ENSPPAG00000045438.1)". Lineage: Eukaryota; Metazoa; Chordata; Mammalia; Primates; Hominidae. The record is from RNAcentral.